This 1043-nucleotide long non-coding RNA is filed under the name Anas platyrhynchos platyrhynchos (common mallard). RNAcentral's name for it is "lncRNA (ENSAPLG00000019062.1)". The record is from RNAcentral. Lineage: Eukaryota; Metazoa; Chordata; Aves; Anseriformes; Anatidae.
AGACAGGAGGCAGCUGAAGCCAAAGAGGACCCACGCCUGAAGCUCUGUGUGUGUGAUUGGAGCAGAGAGAGGCCAGGACCCAAGGAAAUCCCAGCAGCAAGGGAAAAAAACAGAUUGACUCUCAGUGACUCAUUUAGCUCCUGGAUUGGACAGAUCUCUCCCCUGCUGGCAAUUUGGCUGAGCAUCAAUGGACAGAUACCAGGAUGAAUAGCUUAAAAUAAUUAGGGGUUGGGAAUCUGCAAAACUGCUAGCCAUCCAAUUCUUUACUGUGCAAUGUGAGGCACAAAAAAGAAAUUACAUUUAGGUUAUUAAAUAUUAAGUCAGUGGAUUUACCUCCAUUUGGUCCAGAACAGGAAACUGGAUACAAUUCAACGUUUAUUUCAUUGUGUCGAUGGCCUGUUUAUCACUGAGCGGGGCAAGAGGAAUUUGACCAAUGAUGGCAACUGGGACUACAUGAUAUAAGAAUGGUAUUUCAGCAUUUGCUUUCUGAAGAAAUACUCUCAGUGUGAUAUGAAGUUGCUGCACAUUUACCAGUGGUGACCAAGGUAUACAGCUGAGGAUGACUGCCCGGCCCCUCAAGAACUUCUUGUCUGGCAGAGGAUGAAGCACAGCAGAUCCAAGGUGAAAAAUCCAGGAAAGAAUGGAAAGGUGAAAAUCCCAUCAGGUAAAAAAAAAAAAAAAAAGGAAAAACUAAGCUCUUAUUCAUUAUAAAUGUAAAAUGUGGGAGCCUUAAGCUUUUUUUGUUUGUUUGUUUGUUUGUUUUCAUGUGUCUGGGUGGAGAAGGGUGAGGUGCCCUGUAAGGAUGAUUUUAUCUUGUACUUUUGAGUCUGAAGAUCUUCGAUGUGGUUUGGCAAGUUCAUAAAAAUAUUUGUGAUAAAGUUGAACUGCUGUCUGGAAAUGUUACACACAGAGAUGUAAGAAAGCUUAAGGAGAAAACUGCAGAAGAAUUGGCGCUGUACAUGAAUGAGGUUAAAAAUUGCUGACAAUUAGCUACUAGAUGACUCCUGCUAAAUAAAUCAUCAAAGACAUGACUGCUGCUUCCA